RNA transcript from Prosopis cineraria, 4465 nucleotides. It is a transcript of the gene named aminoaldehyde dehydrogenase 2, peroxisomal-like, with no coding region annotated. The transcript has 4 exons. NCBI's taxonomy places the organism in Eukaryota, Viridiplantae, Streptophyta, Magnoliopsida, Fabales, Fabaceae. The record is from RefSeq and is a predicted model, not a curated record.
AUGAUAUUUAUUUUUUUUUAAUUUUUAAUUUACUCCUUUUAAUUCUUUCUUUCUAGAUCGUCAUUCCCAUUGCUCACCCUCUUCUCCCGAACAAGAUUUGGUAUUAUCGUCAUCUUCUUUCGUCCAUAUCUACCGUGGCAUCCUUGCAUUCAGAUCUUUUGAAGGUCAGACGUCAUCAUCGUGUUCCAGUUCAUUGAAGCUACCGAUGACGUAAUGUCAAGAUAUGGCUUAGCUGCUACUGUGAUAUCGAAUGAUCUGAAAAGAUGUGAACAUUUAACUAAGGUUUGUCAGGCGGGAAUUGUAUGGAUCAAUUGCUCUCAACCGUGCUUCACUCAAGUCCUAUGGGGAGGCAUUAAACGUAGUGGUCUUGGUCAUGAACUAGGAGGGUAUGCUCUUAUUUCCUAAAUAAUAAAUGUAAGUCACUGUGAAUGCCUUUUAUAAUUUCUGCAAGUGAUUGUGACAACGCUAUCUUGUUAUGAUGAAGAAAAUCCUCAUUACUCUGCACAUGUUUUGUUAAUGCUUUUAACAGACAUACUACAAAACUGACAAGACAAACAAGUGAAAAAUAUAUACUUGGAUGCAAACAGAAAGCAAGCAUACUUAUUUUCUCAAAUCUGUUACUUGUUGAGGACGAAUCUGAGUCUUCAAAUGCAAGUUAGGAAAGCAUAUUAUAAGUAAGGAGAACUGGUUUGUGGUCAACUUGGUGCUUUGUUGUGCUUUUUAAGUUGGUCAUGACAUCUUAUUUUAUCUGCUCUUCCUUGUGUGAUCUCAUUAGAGCAUAUAUGAGUUUAAGGAGAUUAGUGUCACUAAUUUGAGACAAAUGACAAUAAACUAGCACAAUAUCUAUCAAUUUACAGGUCAGGCAUAUUCCCUCUUGUGCUUCAUAUGCCAAGUUGCUCCUUUUUUUCUCCCUUGCAAACAUUAGAUUCUAGAGAAAGCACCUGGUUAUUGUACUGUAGAAUUCUAACUACAUAGGAGUAGUUGUGCAUGUUGUUGGAAAAGCACCGACUAAUUUAGGAAAAUCUAGAAUUAGAAUAAAUCAAGAAAAAUCUAGAAAUUUUCUCAGCUGAAGCAAUAUCACAAAGGCGGUGAAAGGAUGAUUCUAGAAUUAAUUAUUUUAAUCCUAUAAAGGCGGUGAAAGAGGAAAAUUGAGAAUGCUGUGGAGAAGCUCUCACGGACAUGGUUAAUGUAUAAAUAUGCGAGUGUGUGUAGCAGAGAGAAUGGAGAAAGAAGAAAGAAGAGUGUGUGAGAGUGAGGAAAGAAAGAGAAAAUAAGAAGUACGUGUGGGUAUAGCCUUGUAGAAUAUGAAUAGGUGGUGAGAAAAGUGAGAAAGAGUGUCAGCAAGAAAGAGAAAAAGAAAAAGAGUGAGGGAAAAUUACGAAAAAGAUAUAAGUAUGCGUAAAUUAUAGUUGAGUGAGUAAUAAAAAUUUAUUUUUAGUUUAGUCCCUAUCUUCCUCCAUCAUCAAAUCCCAACAUUUGAUAUUAAAAUUAGAGCUAUUGAGACGUAGUUGGGCUGCUCAAUAGUAGUUGGUAGAGUUUGAAUAUUUAGGCGGAAGACUUUGGGAGUCUAGAUUCGCUCGAGGAUCUGCUAGUACACAGUCUGGGACUAUAGAGUAGAUUGGUUAGGGACCAGAUCUGCUUGGUGUAAGUACAAGGCACUACUGAGGUCAUCAUGGCAAACAUAACGUCGAAUUCUUGUUUAAUGGAGAAGCUAAACCAUGAGAGUUAUCAAGUAUGGAGUACAAUCGUUGAGCUCUACCUCGCAGGUCAGAAUCUUUGGGAUCUCAUUGAUGGAGAUGACGCUACAUGCCCAACAAAUCCAAGUGAAUUGAAGAAGUGGCAGGUAAGGGCUAAGAAAGCUCUUUACAUAGUGGUUGUUACUGUUGAGCUAUAAUUCAUUAGAUAUGUCAAAUAUGAUGCGAAGUUGCAGUGGUUGGAGAAUGAGCUUGCCUCAAUUCGACAAAAUGAUAUGCGUAUAAGUGAGUAUUUUUCAAAAGUUAAAAUUAUUUGUAAUGAGAUUUCAAAGUUAGAUCCAAGGAACCCUAUCACUGACACAAGGAUGAGGAGAAUUAUUAUUAUGGGGUUAAACCUAAAAUAUCAUGGUCUAGUUACGGCAACAAGAGGUUGGUUGAAGGAACCAACUUUAGCUGAGUUGAAAAGUAUCCUAGCUAAUCAAGAAGCAUUGGAAACUGAAAUGUCCAAAGUUUUUUUGAAAGAUGAUGAAAAAGCUCUCUUUUGUAAAAAGAGACAUCAAUGAGAGGAUUCCAACUCAAAGAAGGAGGGAGAUGAUAAAAGGUGACAAAAUGACUGGCACAGAGGAUGUCGCAAUAGAAGCUCACAUCAAGGGGAUCUUGUGAAGAUUGAAACAAGCCCGAAGAGAGGAAAAACUAUCAAAAAAGAGGUCAAUGCUAUAAUUGAGGGAAUGUCGGCCACUUUGCUCGAGAUUGUUGGUGUAGAAUGGCCAAAGGAAAUGUUGUCACCUCCAACAAUAAGACAGCGAGGAAGAAUGGGAUUUUCAAGCUUCAAGUACCGUUGAAGAAGAGACAGCAAUAGAAGAUUUUAGUGAAGAAGAAAUAGAAAUGUCCUGCAUUGUGGACCAAGCAAAUGAAGACAAGGAAGAGAGCAUUAAGGUAAACAAGAAUGAAGAUGCAAAUAAGGACGCAGAAGAUAUAGAGAAACUCCAUUUGGAGAAAGUAAUUGAAUCAUGUUUUGGUGUUCAGAGAUCAAUCAAGAAAAAAUAUGAAGACAAAAUGAAGAACAUAGAUAGGAAGACCAAUCACCACCAUUUAUGGAGAUACAGAAGUCAAGUAUCAAGAAUGUUUCAAGGCACAAAAUGAAGACCAGUUCUUACGAGUCUCCUCAACAAGACAGAGUAGACUGCAACAAGUUCAAGAAACCGUUUAGGAGACUGAGAAAAACAAGAAGCAAUUUGGCUUGGCAAAGAUGUGCCAAAAUUAGUCGGCGAGGGGGAGUGUUGGAAAAUCACUGACUAAUUUAGAAAAAAUUUGGAGUUAGAAUAGAUCAAGAAAAAUCUAGAAAUUUUCUCAGCUGAAGCAAUAUCACAAAGGCGGUGGAAAGAUGAUUCUAAAAAUAAUUAUUUGAAUCCUCUAAAGGUGGUGAAAGAGGAAAAUCGAGAAUGCUAUGCAGAAGCUCUCACGGACAUGAUUAACGUAUAAGUAUGUGAGAGUGUGUGUCAUUGUGUAUAGCAGGGAGAAAGAAGAAAGAAGAGAGAAGAAAGAAGAGUGAGAGUGAGAAAAGAAAGAGAAAAUAAGAAGUGCGUGUGGGUGUAGCCUUGUAAAAUAUGAAUAGGUGGUGAGAAAAGUGAGAUAGAGUGUCAGCAAGAAAGAGAAAAAGAACCAAAGGGUUCCUGGCUCAGUGGUGAUUGGGGCUGAGCUUGGUAGGGCGGACUACGGUUCGAUCCCCCGCGGGGCCAAUUGGGAGGGGGCUGGAACCUAACCACCCAAAACUGUUCCCCCGAAUCUGGAUUAGUCGGCCCGAAGGGUCGGAUACCGGGUGAGUAAUUCAAAAAAAAAAAAGAAAGAGAAAAAGAGAAAGAGUGAGGGAAAAUUAUGAGAGAAGAUAUCAGUAUUUGUAUAAAUUAUAACUUGAGUGAGUAAUAAAAAAUUAUUUUCAAUUGAGUCCCUCUCUUCCUCCAUCAUCAAAUCCCAACACGUCACAGGUAAUUCAGACGAUAAGUAGUGUUUGCCCCUUGUGACAUACACAAGAUUUAGUUAAUGCAAAAUUUUAAUUGUCUGGUAAACACUAGUUAUAGUUUGAAUUCCCACCUAGAUUAUAUAUUUGUGACUCUGAAAAUUGGCUAAAGUUUAUUCAAAUACUACUGAAUUAUUAAUUAUUUAUUUUUUUGUGCCCUUUGAUGAAGAAUUAUAAUUAGUGGGGUUUGAAAGUUGGAAGUACUAAAUGUAUAUAAACAAUGUAUUGUGUGUAAUAAAUGUUGAAUUAUGGAAACAUGAAUCAACAAGAUCAAUGUGCGUACAUACAAAUAAGCUUUCAUUUGAUAUUGAUUUUGUUAAAGUCCAGAAACACAUGCACUGAUUCGAUCUUGGAUGGUAUUUAUAUCUCCUUUUUCCUACAUUAUUGUUCCUCUGCUUCAAUUUCUGUAGAUAUAUGCAACCUUCAAUUGUAAAUUAAAUCUUGAAGAUUAUCAGGUACCUAUUGGUCUCAGCUGAUAUUUGCAUUUAAGCCCAGUAAUAGUUUUGCUGAGCAUGGGAUGGUAGGAAUUAUCAAUAUUUUUCUUUUUCUUAUUCAACCAUUUUGACUUAUUUUUAAGAAUAUGAUUUGAGUUAUAUUUUUAUGUAAAUUUUACUUGAGUAGUUAUCCUCUGACAAAGGGAAAUCGUUAAGCUUCACGGCUCGUUAUUGAUGGAGUUUAGUGUUAUUAUAUUUGUAAUUUUUUAUAUUCUUAUAUGUAGCAUUUUUUUUCAUCCAAAUGCAUUUUUGAUGGGUUC